AACAAUUUCCAUCUGCAAACCAGCAUUUUGUGUUCUGUUACAACACACAAGAUGAAAUGGUUCUGCUGUUUUACCACACUGGAUGGAACCAGUUUCUCUCAACUCCACACUGAUGAGAUGUCUCGCUGUAUGAAGGGAACCUGCAACUAUUUCCCUUUGACUCUACCCCCUCCUUUGGUAUCAACAUCUUCAUUAUUGGCUGAAAGAUAAGCAAAAGCUAUGUCUUGCUGUAUGAAGGGAACCUGCAACUAUUUCCCUUUGACUCUACCCCCUCCUUUGGUAUCAACAUCUUCAUUAUUGGCUGAAAGAUAAGCAAAAGCUAUGUCUUGCUGUAUGAAAGGAACCUGCAACUAUUUCCCUUUGACUCUACCCCCUCCUUUGGUAUCAACAUCUUCAUUAUUGGCUGAAAGAUAAGCAAAAGCUAUGUCUUGCUGUAUGAAGGGAACCUGCAACUAUUUCCCUUUGACUCUACCCCCUCCUUUGGUAUCAACAUCUUCAUUAUUGGCUGAAAGAUAAGCAAAAGCUAUGUCUUGCUGUAUGAAAGGAACCUGCAACUAUUUCCCUUUGACUCUACCCCCUCCUUUGGUAUCAACAUCUUCAUUAUUGGCUGAAAGAUAAGCAAAAGCUAUGUCUUGCUGUAUGAAAGGAACCUGCAACUAUUUCCCUUUGACUCUACCCCCUCCUUUGGUAUUAACAUCUUCAUUAUUGGCUGAAAGAUAAGCAAAAGCUAUGUCUUGCUGUAUGAAGGGAACCUGCAACUAUUUCCCUUUGACUCUACCCCCUCCUUUGGUAUCAACAUCUUCAUUAUUGGCUGAAAGAUAAGCAAAAGCUAUGUCUUGCUGUAUGAAGGGAACCUGCAACUAUUUCCCUUUGACUCUACCCCCUCCUUUGGUAUCAACAUCUUCAUUAUUGGCUGAAAGAUAAGCAAAAGCUGAACAGGCAAAAGGGCACAGUAGGUCAAAGGUCAGAAGAAAAUAAACUUUUGCCAAUGUCAUUGCCUCUAUUACAAUGAAAGUAAAGGUUUGACACUAGCUUUGUGAAGAAAAAAAAACAUAUAAUAGCUUUAAAAAUAGGAAACUGUGUAUAUACCCACCAGCUUUAAUGUAACACUAGUGUAACUGCACUUAUAUCUGCCUAAGCGGAGCUUGAUUGGGUUCAUAAAAUCCCACAGAAAUCAUCAAAGUUAAUGUGAAGAGCAUCACCAGCCCUAACUUCCAUCUGACCCUCAGCAGGAGCCUUUAGUUCAAAAACCAGCUGCUGUGAUUUACAGAGGCCCUGGCAUCACUCCAGUUAUCUUUAAACAUUUGACAUCAAGCCUAUGAAAAGAGGGAACAACCAAUCAGAACUUAAAAACAGCAUUUAUUCACAUAGUAAAGAACACAACAUCUAUCUAAAGAAAACUAUUAUAAUAGAAAAUAUGAUAACACCAAUUAUUGAUAAUUGAAAGGGCAAAAGGGCACAGUGGGUCAAAGGUCAGAAGAAAAUAAACUUUUGCCAAUGUCAAUGCCUCACCUACAAUGAAAGUAAAUAUUUGACACUAGCUUUGUGAAGAUAAAAAAAACAUAUAAUAAUUAUAUGUUGGUAGAAACAAUAAAGUAUAUUUUGGUCACAUCACCCAAGAAUGCAGCACAUCAUUAGGACACAUUCUGAAGGAUAAAAGCUUAGUUUAACACAUGAGCAUAUAAUAUCAGAACCAUAUCAAUACAGGUGUAUGCACCAAGUGGGGAAAAUCAAAGUCAUUGGAAGGAUUUUUAACCACGCAAGUAUUUACAAAAAACAAAAAAGAGUUAUGUGUAUGAAUAAUUUAUGAUUAUAAAAGGCUGAAAUCAUACAAACACAAAGCAUAAAAUGUUAUAUUUUCUACUGCAUAAUGUUUUGCAUUUUGCCAGUACUAGUAACUCUGACUGGUGAUGGAAUUUCUUUUGGUAAUAAACCUUUUAAAAAACAUUUCAUUAAAGUCCUCCUAUAUAUCAAAUUGUUAUCCAAACAGAUACCAAAUCAAAACUCAUGUUGUUAAACAUUAGGUUAUAUUUAAGAAGCUUUGCUAGUGGAGUAUGCAAUGUGUUUGCUUGAAGUCUGCCUCAGUUUGGGAUGUCAGCUGGUGUCUAGGUUUAAAACGGGCUUUUCACGAUUGUGCAGCGACCAGGCUGAAAUACAUGCAAAACUAUUCAGAUUACUUAUUUAACACUAAUCACAACAAAUGCCAUCUCAAGGCGUCUACAAAAAUUAUAAAGAAAGAAAAAUUUAAUUGCUUGAAAAAAUUAUACUGAACUUAUGAUAGUAAUAUCUGAUAUUUACUUUAUGAAUAAGUACAACUGUUGGAUUCAGUGUUGAUCGCAGCAUGAUGUGAAAAGCCUUGAGAUAUGUGUUCCUCUUUGUCAGGGUAAAACUGCUUAGAUUAAUAGCAGUUUUUUUUUAAGCACUGGAAUACAAGAUAUUUUGGUAGGUAGAUGUAAUUUGCUACCACCUUUACCUUUUGUAAUGAUUAAAACAAAUGAACUGUUAAUAUAUUUUUUUCUAGGAACUAGGCUAUAAAUUAUGCUUAUUCUUGUGCUUUAAAAUCUCGUAUUCCAUGUUUCGUAAAUUCCUAAUUUUGAAGUAUAUGUUUGGUGUUUUAUGGUCAAUUCAAUAUUAGAGUAUGUAACAGUUUGUUGGAAAUCAUCUGCCUUUAACUGGCAUUGAGAUAUGCUUUUUGCAACACAUUUUUGUCCAUCCCUAUGAAUCACGUGUUUAGUUUGUGUAUUUAUUAUUUCACUAUUUUGGUUUUCAGCACUUGUAUUAGAUCUGUGAGUUAAAUGAGCUACUGUUUUUUGGAAUCCCCAGCCGGCCUUGGCAGAAGGCUGCUCACACUGAGUCUGGUUCUGCUGGAGGUUUCUUCCUCUUAAGUAGGGAGUUUUUCCUCUCCACUGUCGCUACAUGCUUGCUUGGUGUGAGGGAUUGCUACAAAGUCAGCGACACAAUGCAGGUGAAUGUCU
Long non-coding RNA from Cyprinodon tularosa, 2975 nucleotides. RefSeq lists it as uncharacterized. NCBI's taxonomy places the organism in Eukaryota, Metazoa, Chordata, Actinopteri, Cyprinodontiformes, Cyprinodontidae. The transcript has 9 exons. The record is from RefSeq and is a predicted model, not a curated record.